CUCAUAUAUUAUUUAAAUGACUUGAAAGUUUAAACUUGAUAUGGGUUUUGAUGUGAUUGUACUUUUGAUUUUGCUGCUAAUUAUUAGAGUGAGAUUUGUACAUAGAUCUUCCAUAGUAUUUGAGUGAGUUAAGAAGAUUUCAUAAUAUUGAAAGGAAUGUUCUUCGGAGUUGAAUAUGUAUAUAGAUUAUAUCUGGUAUUGGCAUGUUGGAUAUUGCAAAUAGGUCUAUUUUCGAUUGAUGUAUUUGAUUAUUUUGAGGCCAUAGAGUAUGCAUAUUGACGGAGGAAUUCUAAUUAUUUGAAUUCUCAUAUUCGGAUUGGGCUACUGGAUUUUACUUAUAAUUGUAGAAGACUAUUUGAUGUGUUAAAUUUAAAACUCAAGCCUAGAUUUAAGAUUUGAGUAGGAUCUUUUGUGAUAAAGCUACUAAUAAAUGUCAUAUUGAGUAGAGACUUUGGUCAUGAGAUGCUUACAUGAAUUAUCAUAUAUAGCAUUGCUGAUGGAUGUUAAGAAUCUUGGUGAAGAAAGAUCUGGAGAUCGAUAGAGUUAAUUUAUAAUCAUAGUGUAUUGGCUCAAUGACUUCUAACCAAUUGAAUUUGAAGUAAAUCUUCUUGGAAAGAAGAUCAAUGUAGAUUGUUUAAUCGAAUUGCUGAGGAAAACCAAGGUUAACUUAUUUUAAUUUAAGCCUAGAUAUUUUGGAUUCUAAGUUAUGGAGAUCAUGUAGUGACCUUAAACAUGACUAAUGGUUUAAGAGUUAGUUAUGAUAAGUAUACUCUACAUAAAUUGAGGAUAGAGAGAUUUAGAGGUUCUACUCAAUUAAAGUUUCAAAAUUUGAAUUUUCUUACCCCUAGUGCAAGUGAUAUUUCGAUCAUAAAUCAUUUAGAGGCUUUAGAGUAUUUAAUGGAUUGAAUCAGAGUGCGCAGCGGAAGUGUGGUGGUUUGAGUUAUUUUGAAACUGGUUAAGGACAUUAAUAUUUGAUCUAAAAGGUAUUAUGAUGGAACACUUGAGUUAGUUUCUAGUAGAGGAGAAUGUUGUUGAUUCUAUAGAUGAUCUAGAGGUAGCUAUCACUACAACAAAAAUAGUUUUUGCCGACUCUAUAUUGCCGACGCUAGAUAAAAGCGUUGGCUAAAUUUUUUCUCCCCACAGUAACCGCCGACGCUUCUAGGAAGCGUCGGCAAAAAAACAUCUGCCGACGCUUAUAAGCGCCGGCUUAACGGAAAAAUACGACGA
Molecule: long non-coding RNA, 1227 nt
Filed under: Phoenix dactylifera (date palm)
Lineage: Eukaryota; Viridiplantae; Streptophyta; Magnoliopsida; Arecales; Arecaceae
Description: long non-coding RNA (PDAC_LNC015389)
Source: RNAcentral